GACGAACGCUGGCGGCGUGCUUAACACAUGCAAGUCGAACGGAAAGGCCUGCUUUCCCUUGUGGAUUGCGGGUACUCGAGUGGCGAACGGGUGAGUAACACGUGAGUGAUCUGCCCCCAACUUGGGUAUAAGCCUGGGAAACUGGGUCUAAUUCCCGAUAGGACUGCAGGGUGGUGCCUGUGGUGGAAAACGAUUUUCUAGUGGUUGGGGAUGAGCUCGCGGCCUAUCAGCUUGUUGGUGGGGUAAUGGCCUACCAAGGCGGCGACGGGUAGCCGGCCUGAGAGGGUGGACGGCCACAUUGGGACUGGGAUACGGCCCAGACUCCUACGGGAGGCAGCAGUGGGGAAUAUUGCACAAUGGGCGGAAGCCUGAUGCAGCGACGCCGCGUGGAGGAUGACGGCCUUCGGGUUGUAAACUCCUUUCGACCGCGAGGAAGCCACCUGGUUGGAAGGGUGGUGACGGUAGUGGUAGAAGAAGCACCGGCUAACUACGUG
Molecule: ribosomal RNA, 494 nt
Filed under: uncultured bacterium
Lineage: Bacteria
Description: partial 16S ribosomal RNA
Rfam family: Bacterial small subunit ribosomal RNA
Source: RNAcentral